GAUCCCCGGCAACGGCGCCA
This 20-nucleotide microRNA is filed under the name Arabidopsis thaliana (thale cress). Its description in RNAcentral is "ath-miR8175". Lineage: Eukaryota; Viridiplantae; Streptophyta; Magnoliopsida; Brassicales; Brassicaceae. The record is from miRBase by way of RNAcentral.